AGAGUUUGAUCCUGGCUCAGAUUGAACGCUGGCGGCAGGCCUAACACAUGCAAGUCGAACGGUAACAGGAAGCAGCUUGCUGCUUCGCUGACGAGUGGCGGACGGGUGAGUAAUGUCUGGGAAACUGCCUGAUGGAGGGGGAUAACUACUGGAAACGGUAGCUAAUACCGCAUAACGUCGCAAGACCAAAGAGGGGGACCUUCGGGCCUCUUGCCAUCGGGAUGUGCCCAGAUGGGAUUAGCUAGUAGGUGGGGUAACGGCUCACCUAGGCGACGAUCCCUAGCUGGUCUGAGAGGAUGACCAGCCACACUGGAACUGAGACACGGUCCAGACUCCUACGGGAGGCAGCAGUGGGGAAUAUUGCACAAUGGGCGCAAGCCUGAUGCAGCCAUGCCGCGUGUAUGAAGAAGGCCUUCGGGUUGUAAAGUACUUUCAGCGGGGAGGAAGGGAGUAAAGUUAAUACCUUUACUCAUUGACGUUACCCGCAGAAGAAGCACCGGCUAACUCCGUGCCAGCAGCCGCGGUAAUACGGAGGGUGCAAGCGUUAAUCGGAAUUACUGGGCGUAAAGCGCACGCAGGCGGUUUGUUAAGUCAGAUGUGAAAUCCCCGGGCUCAACCUGGGAACUGCAUCUGAUACUGGCAAGCUUGAGUCUCGUAGAGGGGGGUAGAAUUCCAGGUGUAGCGGUGAAAUGCGUAGAGAUCUGGAGGAAUACCGGUGGCGAAGGCGGCCCCCUGGACGAAGACUGACGCUCAGGUGCGAAAGCGUGGGGAUCAAAGGGGAUUAGAUACCCUGGUAGUCCACGCCGUAACCGUUUAAGGCUUGGAGGUUGUGCCCUUGAGGCGUGGCUUCCGGAGCUAACGCGUUAAGUCGACCGCCUGGGGAGUACGGCCGCAAGGUUAAAACUCAAAUGAAUUGACGGGGGCCCGCACAAGCGGUGGAGCAUGUGGUUUAAUUCGAUGCAACGCGAAGAACCUUACCUGGUCUUGACAUCCACGGAAGUUUUCAGAGAUGAGAAUGUGCCUUCGGGAACCGUGAGACAGGUGCUGCAUGGCUGUCGUCAGCUCGUGUUGUGAAAUGUUGGGUUAAGUCCCGCAACGAGCGCAACCCUUAUCCUUUGUUGCCAGCGGUCCGGCCGGGAACUCAAAGGAGACUGCCAGUGAUAAACUGGAGGAAGGUGGGGAUGACGUCAAGUCAUCAUGGCCCUUACGACCAGGGCUACACACGUGCUACAAUGGCGCAUACAAAGAGAAGCGACCUCGCGAGAGCAAGCGGACCUCAUAAAGUGCGUCGUAGUCCGGAUUGGAGUCUG
RNAcentral lists this ribosomal RNA (1310 nucleotides) under uncultured bacterium. RNAcentral describes it as "bacterial SSU rRNA". It matches the Rfam family "Bacterial small subunit ribosomal RNA", at positions 8 to 1307 of the family's 1533-position model. The record is from RNAcentral.